This 270-nucleotide unclassified non-coding RNA is filed under the name Hevea brasiliensis (rubber tree). The record is from RNAcentral. Lineage: Eukaryota; Viridiplantae; Streptophyta; Magnoliopsida; Malpighiales; Euphorbiaceae.
UUUUUUUUUUUUUUUUGAGAUGAGAGGGAAAUAUUUAAUUGCACACACAUGCUUAUUAUGUCUUGUCAGUACCUCUGUUUCAUGUCUUAGUCUGAGUGUUGUUUUUCUAUAUAUCUAUUGCUAAUUAGUUUCAUGCCUUGUUUAAAAAAGAUUUGGUGCAGCACAUAUGAUUAUCAAGUUACGGUAUAUUGUGUAACAAUGCCAUUUACAGAAGAGAAUCACCACUGCACUGAUUUUGGAAAUAAUUAUGAUCUUUAAUUUUGCCUGGGU